Molecule: long non-coding RNA, 407 nt
Organism: Meriones unguiculatus (Mongolian gerbil)
Lineage: Eukaryota; Metazoa; Chordata; Mammalia; Rodentia; Muridae
Exons: 3
Source: RefSeq, a predicted model, not a curated record
GACCUCCCUUAACCACGGAGCCGGCUCUCCAGGACCUAGAAGGUGUUUUUUGAUUGAGAGGUCUCUUUCCAGCACUUUGGCAGGCAAGUGAGAGGAAUAAACCACAGGACUGUAAUCUCACAGUUUUUUACCAGUCUACUUUGAUCUGUGGAAGUCUUGGCUGAUGGUGAUGUGAUAUCAUCACAUACGCUAGACUUGAGUCAGCAACAAAGGACUUUGGUAAAAUAAUCAGGUGUAGUUCAGCUGGCAGCGUGCUUACCCAGCAGAAGCAAGGCCCUGUGUUUGUCUCCAGCAUCACGCAAAGUGGGUGUGGUUCCGAAUGCCUGUAAUUCAGGCACUCACGAGUGAGAGGCAGAGGGAUUAGAAGUUCAAGGCCAUUCUUGGCUACACAGCAAGUUGGAGGCCAG